RNAcentral lists this unclassified non-coding RNA (332 nucleotides) under soil metagenome. RNAcentral describes it as "partial contains 5.8S ribosomal RNA, internal transcribed spacer 2, and large subunit ribosomal RNA". The stretch from base 1 to 120 matches the Rfam family "5.8S ribosomal RNA", at positions 35 to 154 of the family's 154-position model. The record is from RNAcentral.
GAUGAAGAACGUAGCAAAAUGCGAUAAGUAAUGUGAAUUGCAGAAUUCAGUGAAUCAUCGAAUCUUUGAACGCACAUUGCGCCCGCCAGUAUUCUGGCGGGCAUGCCUGUUCGAGCGUCAUUUCAACCCUCAAGCACAGCUUGGUGUUGGGACUCGCGUUAAUUCGCGUUCCUCAAAUUGAUUGGCGGUCACGUCGAGCUUCCAUAGCGUAGUAGUAAAACCCUCGUUACUGGUAAUCGUCGCGGCCACGCCGUUAAACCCCAACUUCUGAAUGUUGACCUCGGAUCAGGUAGGAAUACUCGCUGAACUUAAGCAUAUCAAUAAGCGGAGGA